RNAcentral lists this non-coding RNA (45 nucleotides) under Schistosoma mattheei. Lineage: Eukaryota; Metazoa; Platyhelminthes; Trematoda; Strigeidida; Schistosomatidae. The record is from RNAcentral.
ACCCAGCUGACGAGUCCCGAAUAGGACGAAAUGCGUGUCCUAGAU